RNAcentral lists this ribosomal RNA (253 nucleotides) under uncultured bacterium. RNAcentral describes it as "partial 16S ribosomal RNA". It matches the Rfam family "Bacterial small subunit ribosomal RNA", at positions 524 to 776 of the family's 1533-position model. The record is from RNAcentral.
UACGGAGGUCCCAAGCGUUGUUCGGAAUUACUGGGCGUAAAGGGAGCGCAGGCGGACAGGUCAGUCUAAAGUGGAAUCCCGGGGCUCAACCUCGGAACUGCUUCGGAUACUGCCUGUCUUGAGUUCGUGAGAGGAAAGCGGAAUUCAGGGUGUAGCGGUGAAAUGCUUAGAUAUCCUGAGGAACACCAAUGGCGAAGGCAGCUUUCUGGCGCGAUACUGACGCUGAGGCUCGAAAGCGUGGGGAGCGAACGGG